AUAAGAUUCCUCUAUAGUGCAAGAAUUAAAAUCAAGAAUUAAUAAAUGAGAUGGAUUCAAUCUAAAAAGCUUCUUUUCAGCAAAAGAAACAAUAGUGAGGUGAAUAGAGAGCCUACAGCUUGGAAGCAAAUUUUUACCACUUGCACAUCAGAUACAGCACUAAUCUCUAGGGUAUAUAAAGAACUCAAAAAGCUAAACUCCAAAAAAACAAAUAACCCAAUAAUAAAUGAGCCAAGGACCUGAACAAACACUUCUCAGAAGAGGAUAUACCAUCAAUCAAGAAAUAUAUGAAAAAAUAUUCAAUAUCUCUACCAAUUAGAGAAACGCAAAUCAAAACUAUUCUAAGAUUUCAUCUCACUCCAGUCAGAAUGGUAGCUAUUAAGAAUACAAACAAUAAUAAGUGUUGUUGAGGAUGUGGGGGGAAAGGCACACUCAUACAUUGUUGGUGGGACUGCAAAAUGGUGCAGCCAAUAUGGAAAACAGUUUGGAGAUUCCAUGGAAAACUGGGAAUGGAACCACUUUUUGACCCAGCUAUCCCACUCCUCAGUCUAUACCCAAAGGACUUAAAUACAGCAUACUACAGGGACACAGCCACAUCAAUGUUUAUUGCAACACAAUUCACAAUAGCUAAACUGUGGAACCAACCUAGAUGCCCUUCAGUUGAUGAACAGAUAAAGAAAAUGUGGUGUAUAUAUAUACAAUGGAAUACUACUCAGUAAUAAAAGAGAACAAAAUCAUGGCAUUUGCAGGUAAAUGGAUGGAGUUGGAGAACACAAUGCUAAGUGA
This 786-nucleotide long non-coding RNA is filed under the name Marmota monax (woodchuck). The record is from RNAcentral. Lineage: Eukaryota; Metazoa; Chordata; Mammalia; Rodentia; Sciuridae.